This 77-nucleotide small RNA is filed under the name Flavobacterium enshiense DK69. RNAcentral describes it as "Flavobacterium sp. DK69 Flavo-1 RNA". It matches the Rfam family "Flavo-1 RNA". The record is from Rfam by way of RNAcentral. Lineage: Bacteria; Pseudomonadati; Bacteroidota; Flavobacteriia; Flavobacteriales; Flavobacteriaceae.
CCUUAGUCCCGAUUGCAGUGAAAAUCCUUUCAUUGCAAACUUGCAAUGAAAGAUUGCAACGGAAAGCGGGAACAAGG